UCCUUUUGGUGGCUCUCCUGCUUCCUGCACUAAGAUCAGACUGUCAGAAUGCUGGCAGAGGAGACUGGGUCAGACUAUGACAGAUGCAGAUUGUGAAGGGGACAAUAAAGACUUUGGACUUUAUUCCUGACUAUUCUCGUGGUGAUUAUUCUGCUGAGAUCAAGGCUGGUCUCAAAGCCCUCCAGAAAGCCAGUGGAACAUUACAUUGGUUGGUUGUUAUCCUUAGUUCUAGAAGAAGAAUGAAAUGACAUCACUAUGUUAGAAUGGAGUUACAGUAUUCGACUGUUGCUGAUGAGACCAAUAAAAGCUUGGAGUUCUCUGCCACAGGAAUAAACCUACUGCAUAAAUUAGGAUUGAGAAGGAAUAGCCUACCCUGUCAACUAUAACACUCAUCAGAUAUAAUCAGCUAUGUUCUUCCAGUCAUUUGGAAACAGCUCCAUGGAGUGGCAAUCCUAAGGUGGCAGGUCUACCUAUGUAUUUUGCGCUAAUCCUAGAAUUAUUGUUUUGACCUGAGCACCUGCUGAGUAAAUUCCUCGUCCUGGGUUUGGGAUGCAGAACUGGGAAGAGUCAGGAUAUGGCUACUUGAAAGUGUCAGCUACAUCACAGAAUGUGUGUGACUUUAAGGGAAGGUGGUAAAAAGAAAGAAGAUUGGAAAUCUAAGGAAGGAUCAGAUGAAGAAAUUGAGGCAAAAAGUUAAGUGAUUUACUCAGAUGAACACAGCCACAAUAAAGUCAAUGGAAGCAGAUCCAAAUACGAAAAUCCUAUGACAAUGUGACCUUCAAAAUGAAAAAUAAACUACUUACAGAG
Molecule: long non-coding RNA, 807 nt
Organism: Antechinus flavipes (yellow-footed antechinus)
Lineage: Eukaryota; Metazoa; Chordata; Mammalia; Dasyuromorphia; Dasyuridae
Exons: 6
Source: RefSeq, a predicted model, not a curated record